Molecule: long non-coding RNA, 1160 nt
Filed under: Vigna radiata
Lineage: Eukaryota; Viridiplantae; Streptophyta; Magnoliopsida; Fabales; Fabaceae
Description: long non-coding RNA (VRAD_LNC014958)
Source: RNAcentral
GCUCUCUCGAAAUCACAUUUUCCCCCUCUCUCGAAAAUACUCACAUUUUUACCUCUUCUUAGACUUUCGUUCCCUCUCGCGAAUUCAUCUUCGUCUCUCACUGAAUCACUUCGUCAUCUUCCUCCUUCAAUCUCUCUCUCAGGUCACUUCUUCAUCUUCUUGAUUAAUUCUCGUGCUGCACUCGCACUCCCUCCCUCUCGCUCAGCCACACAUCAGAUCUUAUUGGGUCCUCAAGCGCAAACCUUUCUUCUAGGGUUCCUGAGCCAAACCAUGGAAGGGAGAGUGCAAAAGAAGAAGAGACAGUUCAGAGAGUGGCUCGUUGCUAAUGUCAAGACGAAAACCCUAUUCGAGCUCCAAACAAGGUAAAUUCUCUGACCUUCCUCACUCUCACAACUACCCUCCCUGCUCCCUGACUCUCGCUUACUGGCUUAGCGGCUUCCCAUCACUCUCGCUUGCAGUUGCCUCUCUUCCCCCUCACCCGUAACUGCCUCCCCUCACUCUCGCUCACUCUCACUCUACAACUACAAUAUGCUUUCAAUUUUCUUUUUCCUUCCAGUGCCCUAACCUGCCAUGGGUGUUGGAUUAGAGCUCCAUGGUUUUAGUUUUUGUUCUUCCUUAUAGUGCCCUAAUCUGCAAUGGGUGAUCGAAGCUUCAGGUUUCAGUUUUCUUCCUCAUUACAGUGCCCUGUACACUGGUUUUUUGCGAAACCUCCGACAUUUGUCAACCAUUAUGCUAGGGAAAUUUGAUUAAAAAAAGUACGUAUAUAGGAAGAGCAACACUUUUGUUUGUAGCCAUGUCCAACUCUUAUUCUCACAAGCGGACCAAAGAAGAAAAAGAAGCAGGUUCAUUACGUAUGUCUAGUCAUGGGUUUUAUUAAGCUUGGUCGUUUAUAUCAACAAAUUAUCCUUUUGUUAUUGAUUUCAUUAAAUUUAUUUUAUUUUAUGUCAACUUUUGCUUCACUAAAUCAACUCACAACCUACUUCAUCUGCUCAUAAUAUCAGUAGUUCACUUAAUUAUUUAUGCCCAUUGUUGGUAUGUAGUGCUAAUUCAUUUCUACAUGCAUGUUUCAGUGAUUGCAUAUUUGUUGAAUGUCGCAUUUUCAAUUUACACACCUGUACAUUAUUGCAGUGUUGAUAAUUUUUUCUUAAUUUUAAAUAAAA